Harpia harpyja (harpy eagle) is the source of this 588-nucleotide long non-coding RNA. RefSeq lists it as uncharacterized. The transcript is spliced from 3 exons. Lineage: Eukaryota; Metazoa; Chordata; Aves; Accipitriformes; Accipitridae. The record is from RefSeq and is a predicted model, not a curated record.
UGAUCACUUUCUUCACAUUCACGUGUCUGUAAAUGGUUUCUAGGAUUAGUUGCUCCAUCACCUUCCCAGGGAUUGAGAUGGGGCUAACCUGCCUGUAGUUCCUCAAAUCUGCUUUCUUGCCUUUCUUGAAAAUAGGAGUGACAUUUGCUUUCUUGUAGUGUUCAGGAACCUGUACUGAUUGCUGUGACCUUUCAAAGAUAAGUGAGAGUGGCUUUGCAAAGGCAUUGGCCAGCUGCCUCAGCGUUUGUGUCUACAUCCCAUCAGGUGCCAUGGACAUAUGUAUGUUCAGUUUAAGUAAGCGCUCAGUAACCUGAUCCUCGUCCACCAAGGGUACGUCUUUCUUGCUCCAGGCUUCCCCUUGGGUCUCAGAGGCCUGGGAUUCCUGAAGGCUGGUCUUACAGAGAAAGCACUGAGGGGAUGGAGAUACGUUUCUCUGCUUGCUCCAAGGAUUCUAAUAGAGAAGAGAAAUUUACAGCUAACAUUUGUUCGCGCACACAGACUGCCCGUGUUCACUGUCAGAAGCACUUGUGCUCGUCCAUCUAGAAAGAAGGAGAGAAAACAGAACAAACACUCUUAGCCUGCUGUUCA